GCGGCAGUUCGCUCUACACCCUUUGUGACAUACCUACAACUGUUGCUUCGGCGGGUAGGGUCUCCGCGACCCUCCCGGCCUCCCGCCUCCGGGCGGGUCGGCGCCCGCCGGAGGAUAACCAAACUCUGAUUUAACGACGUUUCUUCUGAGUGGUACAAGCAAAUAAUCAAAACUUUUAACAACGGAUCUCUUGGUUCUGGCAUCGAUGAAGAACGCAGCGAAAUGCGAUAAGUAAUGUGAAUUGCAGAAUUCAGUGAAUCAUCGAAUCUUUGAACGCACAUUGCGCCCGCCAGCAUUCUGGCGGGCAUGCCUGUUCGAGCGUCAUUUCAACCCUCAAGCUCUGCUUGGUGUUGGGGCCCUACAGCCGAUGUAGGCCCUCAAAGGUAGUGGCGGACCCUCCCGGAGCCUCCUUUGCGUAGUAACUUUACGUCUCGCACUGGGAUCCGGAGGGACUCUUGCCGUAAAACCCCCCAAUUUUCCAAAGGUUGACCUCGGAUCAGGUAGGAAUACCCGCUGAACUUAAGCAUAUCAAAGCCCGGAGGAAUCAUUA
Molecule: ribosomal RNA, 550 nt
Filed under: Colletotrichum gloeosporioides
Lineage: Eukaryota; Fungi; Ascomycota; Sordariomycetes; Glomerellales; Glomerellaceae
Description: eukaryotic LSU rRNA
Rfam family: 5.8S ribosomal RNA (bases 171-324)
Source: RNAcentral